Molecule: ribosomal RNA, 496 nt
Filed under: uncultured bacterium
Lineage: Bacteria
Description: partial 16S ribosomal RNA
Rfam family: Bacterial small subunit ribosomal RNA
Source: RNAcentral
GAUGAACGAUGGCGGCGUGCCUAAUACAUGCAAGUCGAGCGAACGGACGAGAAGCUUGCUUCUCUGAUGUUAGCGGCGGACGGGUGAGUAACACGUGGAUAACCUACCUAUAAGACUGGGAUAACUUCGGGAAACCGGAGCUAAUACCGGAUAAUAUUUUGAACCGCAUGGUUCAAAAGUGAAAGACGGUCUUGCUGUCACUUAUAGAUGGAUCCGCGCUGCAUUAGCUAGUUGGUAAGGUAACGGCUUACCAAGGCAACGAUGCAUAGCCGACCUGAGAGGGUGAUCGGCCACACUGGAACUGAGACACGGUCCAGACUCCUACGGGAGGCAGCAGUAGGGAAUCUUCCGCAAUGGGCGAAAGCCUGACGGAGCAACGCCGCGUGAGUGAUGAAGGUCUUCGGAUCGUAAAACUCUGUUAUUAGGGAAGAACAUAUGUGUAAGUAACUGUGCACAUCUUGACGGUACCUAAGCAGAAAGCCACGGCUAACUACGU